GGCAAUCCGUCUACACAUGCAGUCGAACGGUAACAGGAAGCAGCUUGCUGCUUCGCUGACGAGUGGCGGACGGGUGAGUAAUGUCUGGGAAACUGCCUGAUGGAGGGGGAUAACUACUGGAAACGGUAGCUAAUACCGCAUAACGUCGCAAGACCAAAGAGGGGGACCUUCGGGCCUCUUGCCAUCGGAUGUGCCCAGAUGGGAUUAGCUAGUAGGUGGGGUAACGGCUCACCUAGGCGACGAUCCCUAGCUGGUCUGAGAGGAUGACCAGCCACACUGGAACUGAGACACGGUCCAGACUCCUACGGGAGGCAGCAGUGGGGAAUAUUGCACAAUGGGCGCAAGCCUGAUGCAGCCAUGCCGCGUGUAUGAAGAAGGCCUUCGGGUUGUAAAGUACUUUCAGCGGGGAGGAAGGCGAUAAGGUUAAUAACCUUGUCGAUUGACGUUACCCGCAGAAGAAGCACCCGAGCAGCCGCGGUAAUACGGAGGGUGCAAGCGUUAAUCGGAAUUACUGGGCGUAAAGCGCACGCAGGCGGUCUGUCAAGUCGGAUGUGAAAUCCCCGGGCUCAACCUGGGAACUGCAUUCGAAACUGGCAGGCUAGAGUCUUGUAGAGGGGGGUAGAAUUCCAGGUGUAGCGGUGAAAUGCGUAGAGAUCUGGAGGAAUACCGGUGGCGAAGGCGGCCCCCUGGACAA
RNAcentral lists this ribosomal RNA (694 nucleotides) under Enterobacter hormaechei. Its description in RNAcentral is "bacterial SSU rRNA". It matches the Rfam family "Bacterial small subunit ribosomal RNA", at positions 41 to 736 of the family's 1533-position model. The record is from RNAcentral. Lineage: Bacteria; Pseudomonadati; Pseudomonadota; Gammaproteobacteria; Enterobacterales; Enterobacteriaceae.